UCCACAAACAUCUCGCCAACGGGUCGCCCAGAGCUGCGUACACCCGUGGUCAGGGAUCUUUCCGGUGGGUAGGGGAUUAUGCCACAAACUCAACCCGCGGCCCAAGACCCCCGAUAGGGAAGGGGACAUGCCACACUCAACCCUAGCAAAGCACGAUUCUGCCGACGGGAAGGGGAACCUGCCACACUCGACCCACUGUCACGGGUCGAUCGUUGGGACUCGACCGUGACACCUUUGAGGGCCAUAUUUGGUAGGCAUUUGGGUUGAUGAAGUUAUGGAGUUGCGGAGUUGAGGCGUUCCGUCAGGUAGGAGUCGCUGUCAAGUCAACGGGGGCAAUUCCCUAGCAAUGGCCCGUUCCAUGACAUAGAAAUAGGUGCCGCAUGCAAGGUUGGAAAACGUACCCCUCGGUGAGCACCUUCGUACCCCCGGGGUGCCAAAGGAGUGGAUGCCUCGUAAGGGUAUUAGAGGAGGGGUGGACACUUCGUAAGUGGCCCCGACUCCCCCGUCGACCCAUAGGACAUGGGUCGUCCCUUGGCUAGUGGAGUAGCCAAGCCUAGCGUUUCGUGUAGCCGGGCAAUGGACGGUUGAAGGGACACGGGCCUAGGGUAAUGUCGGAGACGCGAGAGGUCGACGACAUUACGGAAGCGGGGAAUAUCGGGAGGCUUCCUCCCUAGGAUCGCUUGUGCUACCUUAUGCCGGUUUGGAUCUCUGUAGUGGAGCGUACGAGCAGAUGAGGACAAGGCUCGCGGAGGCAGGUGUGCCGAGCUGGGAUUCGUGGGGUGCGGCGCCCACGAAGGCCAAGGAGGCGGGACUCAAUGGGAACGCUAAAGGGAGGCACGCCGAGGGAGAAUUCGUAAGGUGGGUAGCCUACGAGACUCGAGGGGCGGAACCCAAUGAGGCAAGCGCUAUCGGUAUCCGUAUAGUGAACCUUGAGAGACUGGGCCAAUGGUGUGAGCGGCCAGGUGUGGCCGAGCCAAAGACGGGGCCAGUGGCUAGCGAUGCGGAGCAAGGCCGGUUCGUUUGUAUGGGGCCUUAUGAGGCGAACCUAUGGGAGUCAAGGGCGCGGAGCGCUGUGGCAAAGCGAGGGUCGUUGAGACAGUCGAGAAGCACGGUGUGGACUUGUUGGUUCCCUGGUCAGGAGCGAUGGGACACGAGGGUUGCACAGGUCGAAUGCGAAGCACGGAGGUGCGAAGCAUGGACGUGCGGGGUGUCAUGCUGAGGUGCUGAUGUUGGGGACAAGCGAGCUUGUGGCGCACACUUGGGUGGCUUUUCGGAGGUAAGCCGUUGGACCGAGCGAGCAGGUUGCGUAUGCGGUAUGGCCAUGGGCGUUGUCAGGCGCUUGAGGUACGAUGAUGAGGAACUUAUGGUUAUGAGUGCCCUUCGUGGCAUGCGAUGUCGCGAAGCCCGGACCUCGACGCUUGAGGCGUGCGGUUUGAGUCGCGAGGGCGAGACGCGUGGGAGGCGAGACGCUUGGCUAUACUCAUAUUGGACAAGUUGGGGGAGAACUUGUAAUGUCCUUGGGCUGGCGACGAAGGCAACAAGGCAUUCGGUUGUGAAGCACUCUCGAGGAGAGAUUGGCAAGACAGGAUGCACCUAGCUUGGUGGCCAACCUCGGUAUUGGGGUUGCUCGUUGGGAACUCGUGGAGUUCGACGAGGGGUUCGAUUACAGGCGAAGGGUCGGGCUGUAAGUCUCGUGGAGGAGCAAGCUUGGCAAAAUGCUUGGAUUGGUAUUCCGCUAUUAAGUCUGGGAGACUUGUCCGUGUAAGGGACUCGAGAAGGCUGGCUCGGGUGUGCGACACUUGAGCGCCGCGCGGGGAUUUUGAGGCGAAAAAGCUAACCCCGUGACACCGCGGCCUCGAAUCAGUCAACAGCUCAUCCUCGAAGUUCGUCCAGUGGGAGGGGAACCUGUCACACUCAACCCAUUGCUCUAGAACUGUCGAGUUCACAAUCCUAAGAUUCCGGAAUCUAUUUCCCAAGCCUCUAGGGUAAUCUCAAACCCUAUGAUAUCGACCUAUCUAGGUCCNUUGAUCCUGCCAGUAGUCAUAUGCUUGUCUCAAAGAUUAAGCCAUGCAUGUGUAAGUAUGAACUACUUCAGACUGUGAAACUGCGAAUGGCUCAUUAAAUCAGUUAUAAUUUGUUUGAUGGUACCUGCUACUCAGAUAACCGUAGUAAUUCUAGAGCUAAUACGUACAACAAACCUUGACUUCCGGAAGGGACGCAUUUAUUAGAUAAAAGGCCGACACGGGC
Molecule: long non-coding RNA, 2247 nt
Filed under: Ananas comosus (pineapple)
Lineage: Eukaryota; Viridiplantae; Streptophyta; Magnoliopsida; Poales; Bromeliaceae
Description: long non-coding RNA (ACOM_LNC018184)
Rfam family: Eukaryotic small subunit ribosomal RNA (bases 2013-2247)
Source: RNAcentral